RNAcentral lists this ribosomal RNA (423 nucleotides) under uncultured bacterium. Its description in RNAcentral is "bacterial SSU rRNA". It matches the Rfam family "Bacterial small subunit ribosomal RNA", at positions 358 to 773 of the family's 1533-position model. The record is from RNAcentral.
GGAAUAUUGGACAAUGGGCGCAAGCCUGAUCCAGCCAUGCCGCGUGUGUGAAGAAGGCCUUCGGGUUGUAAAGCACUUUUGUUGGGGAAGAAAAGCUACCGGUUAAUACCCGGGAGUGCUGACGGUACCCAAAGAAUAACCACCGGCUAACUUCGUGCCAUCAGCCUCGGUAAACCGAAGGGUGCAAGCGUUACUCGGAAUGACUGGGCGUAAAGCGUGCGUAGGUGGUUCGUUAAGUCUGUCGUGAAAGCCCCGGGCUCAACCUGGGAAUGGCGAUGGAUACUGGCGGGCUAGAGUGCGGUAGAGGAGAGUGGAAUUCCCGGUGUAGCAGUGAAAUGCGUAGAGAUCGGGAGGAACAUCAGUUGCGAAGGCGGCUCUCUGGACCAGCACUGACACUGAGGCACGAAAGCGUGGGGAGCAAAC